CCUUUAUGUAAAACUGACUUUUAUUACAAUUAAAAAAGAACAAAGACAAUUUGAUAAGUGCCUUUAAUUACAACAUACCUGCUAUUUACAUGUAAUCAUACUUUUAUAUAUAGCUUGAAUAAGUUUUAUUACAUGUAAACUAUAAGAUAUUACAAGUUAAACUCCAGUCUUUUCUGGAUAUUCAAUUGAAAUACUACUGGCAGAAACAUACGAAAACAAAUACCCAUUUCAGUUCCUCAGGUACCAUUACUGGUUGAAUGAUCAAGAUCUGGCCACAGAAGAGAAGUGGAAAUAUGCAUCAAAACAAAACUUAUUCUUAACAUGACUAACAGUAUUGUUAUUUAAACCCUAAACAUAAUUAAUAAUUGGAUCAUUAAAAACACAACUUCAAUUUAUAUAGCACCUUUCUUCCGAAGAGUUGAAAGCAUUCGUGCUUAUCUCUAUUAUUUCGUUUGUCCCCAUAACAUCUCUAUGAGGUAGGCAAUGGUUAGUAUCAUUAUCCCCAUUUUGUAUAUGGAGAAACUGAGGCACAGAGAAGUUAAAUCAUUUGCUCGAGGUCACAUAGUAAAGUCAAUGCUGGAACAGGGACCACAGCCCUGUGCUCUUGUCUCCAAAACCCAUGUUUCCCUUUACACUAAAUUGUCCCACUUGAGAAUUUAAUUCAAUAACUCUACACUUUUCCAAUAAAUAAAAAAGUGCAUUUUUUUCACCCAUAAAAAUUUUUGAAAUACUAUGAGCAAGAUACAAACAUUCUGGGAUGGAUGGUAGAUGGAUGCUACACUCUUCUAGAAAGUGCUUAUGGAAAUGUUUAUUUUAAUAUGAGGAGUUUCUUUUCCUAGUUAAAACAAAGUAGAUGUCUUUACAAGAAAUAUAUUUGAAAAAAUGCUUCUAGUCACCUACUCAAUUAUAGCUCUAGUAGCCAUAUUAUAUUAUCUACAAACCAGGUUUAUUCCUGAGUUUAAAAAGAAGAAAAUAUCUAAAUAAUAAGUUAAAUCUUUGAGAUAAUUUUUCUCAUUUACACACAUUUACUCAAGAGACUCAGAGUGGCAGAUAGGGAAUUGGGCCAACACAUUUCUCAGAGAGACAUGAGAACUGAGACACACAGGGGCAGCAAGUCUGAAUUUUGCUCUCAUCUCUGCUCCCUUCGCCCCACUAGAGUCAACUAUACGGUUGAUACUCGAAGCAAAUAAAAAGAUAAUUUUUAAAAAGUGUCAAGGUCGCAAGCAUACUAGAAUGCUCACAAAUGUUUGCUGACUUGAACGUAAGGUUCAGCUUUCCUGAUGCUUUUCACAUUGCUUCUCCUCAAGACAUGAGCAUUGCUGCUGAUAUCGAAUGCCAAAAUAAGAAGGAACAAAGACAGAAGAGACUCCAGGGACGUCCCUCC
RNAcentral lists this long non-coding RNA (1384 nucleotides) under Homo sapiens (human). Its description in RNAcentral is "HSALNT0139381". The record is from RNAcentral. Lineage: Eukaryota; Metazoa; Chordata; Mammalia; Primates; Hominidae.